Molecule: ribosomal RNA, 2601 nt
Filed under: Dasya binghamiae
Lineage: Eukaryota; Rhodophyta; Florideophyceae; Ceramiales; Dasyaceae
Description: large subunit ribosomal RNA
Rfam family: Bacterial large subunit ribosomal RNA
Source: RNAcentral
AUAAAUUUUUAUUAAUAAGCAUUUAAUGAAAUCCUUGGUAAAUUAAAUUGGACGUGAAUAUACGAAAUUUGCAAUUAGGCACAAGCUUGUGAGUUGUAAUUUUCCUUAAUUUUAAAAAAGUUUUAUAAAAAAUUUUGUGAAUUGAAUCAUCUUAGUAGCAUUUAAAAUUUAAAUCAAACGAGAUAGUGAAAGUAGCGGUGAGCGAAAUCACAAAUAAGCUUUAUCAAAUUUUUACAAUAAUUAUAAUUAAAACUAAAAAAGGUAAAAGUCCUGUAAUAAUUCUUUAAUAAUAAAUUUGAGUUUAGUAAUAUGAUUAAAAUUGUAUGAAUAUAGGAGAACCACCUUCUAAGCUUAAAAAUUUAAUUUAACCUAUAGUGAACAAGUACUGUGAAGGAAAGGAUAAUAUUGAAAAAAUAUUUAAAUUGAAUGUUUAUAACUUACUCGAAGUUGAUUAAAACAACGAGAUGCUUUUUGCAUAACGAGUCAGCAAGUUAAUAAGCAUAGCAAAAAAUAAAUAUAAAUUUUUUUUAAUUUUAUAAGUUAUGCUUAUUAGACCUGAAACCAGAUGAUCUAACCAUUUCUAAGUUAAAAAUUAAGUAAAAUUUUUUUGAGGACUCAACUCGUGUAUGUGGCAAAAUACUGAGAAAAGUUAUGGUUAGGAGCGAAAGACUAAUCAAAUUUGGUUAUAGCCGGUUUUUCACGAAAUGUAUUUUAGUACAUCAUUAACUAUAAAAAAAUUAAGGUAAAGUACAAAAUGAGGAAAAGGAAUUAAUUUUUUAUAGCACUUAUUUUAACUCGGAAUUAAAUUUUUUGAUAAAGUUAAUAGUCAGUCUUAAAGCGAUAAGGUUUUAAGACUAAAGGAAAACAAUCCAGAUCGUUUACUAAGAUCUCAAAAUAUAAUUUAGUAAUAAAAAAAAAUUUAAGAAUCAAAUAUAAUUAAUUUUUGAUAGGCUUAGAAGCAGUUUUUCAUUAGAGAAAGCGUUUUAGCUCAUUAUUUUUUCUUAAAAAUUUGAAAAUUUUCGAGGUUAAAUUAUAAUAUCGAUGUAACGGAUUAUAAAUAUAAAUUUAUAAUGGUAGUGAAACGUUUUGUUAGAAAAUUUUUGUUUAUUGCAAAAUAAAAAAAAAAAUUAAACAAAAGUGCUAAUGCUGACAUGAGUAACGAAUAACUAUGUAUAAAACAUAGUCUUUUUUUUUAGGUUUUCAAUGUAAUUUUUAAUACGUUGAGUGAAUCGGUCCUUAAAAAGUUAAAUAAAUAUUGUAUUUGAUAGGAUAUUUUAAAAGUUUAAUUAUAUGUAAGUAAUAUUUUUGUUUAUUUAAAUAAAAGUUAAGAUAAGUUAACAGCUUUAGUUUAAGAUAAGUUAAUAUAUUGAUUUUUAUCAAGAAAAAUUUAUAAUUAAAAAAACCGUACUAAAACCGACACAGGUAAUAUUAAUAUAAAAGAUUGAAAGAAUUAUAUUAAAGGAACUCGGCAAACUAUUUUUGUAAGUUCGCGAUAAAAAAUACCAUUAAAGUAAUUUUAAUGGAAUAAAAACAAAAGCAACGACUGGUUAACAAAACCACAGAACUCUGCAAAUUUUUUAAAAGAUGUAUAGGGUUUGAAGCCUGCCCAGUGCUUAAAAGUGAAAAAAUAUAAAAUAUAAAGUUAAUAUUAUAAGCUUAAGUAAACGGCGGUUCUAACUAUAAGAAUCCUUAGGUAGCGAAAUUCCUUGGCGGGUAAAUUCCGUCCUGCAUGAAUGGCGUAACGAUUGCUUUACUGUCUCUAAUAUAAAUUCAGUGAAAUUCCAAUAUCCAUGAAAAUGUGGAUUACUUACAAUAAGACGGAAAGACCCUAGAUCCUUUACUUUUAUUUUAUAUUGUAAAAAUUAAUAUAUUAUAUAGUAUAAAUGGGAGUUUUAUUUACAAAAUUGAAAUACCAUUAAAUAUAUUAAUUUUUACUUAAAAUUUGUUGUUAAAAAUAUAACAAAGACCGUAUAAAAAAGAAAGUUUACUUGGGAUGAGUACCUCCUAAAAAGUAACGGAGGUGUACAAAGGUAAAUUUUUGAAAUGUAACAGUGUAUAAUUUGCUUGACAAUAAGAUUUAUAAAUCAAAUUGAGACUAAAGUCAGUUGUAGUGACCCAAUAAUUAGAGUGGAAUAAUUAUUGUUCAACAGUUAAAAGGAACUCUAGGGAUAACAGAUUCAUCGUGAUUUAAAGUUCAAAUUGAAAUCACGGUUUGAUACCUCGAUGUCGACUCAUCUUAUCCUGAAGUUGAAGAAGAUUUCAAGGGUCUAGUUGUUCGCUAGUUAAAAAGGUACGUGAGUUGGGUUCAGAACGUCGUGAGACAGUUCGGUCCCUAUCUAUUGUAAGAUAUAGAAAAUCAAAAAGAAUUAUUUUUAGUACGAGAGGACUGAAAUAAAUUAACCUCUGGUUAUAUAAUUAUUAAUAUUUCAUUAUUAUUAAGUAGCUACGUUAGUUUAAUUUAAAUACUGAAUGAAUCAAAUUUUGUAUUAAAAUAACUUUUAGGUUUUUCAAGAAUAUUCUAAAAGAAAAUUAGAUUGAUCGGUUUGGAAAUUAAAUUUAGUAAUAAACAUAAGUAACAAAUACGAAUUAUUCAUUAAAAUU